This 373-nucleotide long non-coding RNA is filed under the name Lathyrus oleraceus (garden pea). RNAcentral describes it as "Pisum sativum (pea) long non-coding RNA (PSAT_LNC010380)". Lineage: Eukaryota; Viridiplantae; Streptophyta; Magnoliopsida; Fabales; Fabaceae. The record is from RNAcentral.
AUCUUGAAGGAGCAAAAGUUUGUUCAUGAGCUGUCAUGCUCGCUAGGCGAGCAGAAUGGGUCGCCUAGCGAGUCCCAAGAAAAGCCACCAGAAUCACCUACGCUCAGAGGAAUUUCUUGAACUGUCAUGCUCGCUAGGCGAAGCCCACGUGUUUAAAAAAAAAGAAAAAAAAUAGAAUAUAACAGAAAAUUUUUGGACUUGGGCCUCUCUCAUUUGAGCCCACAGGUCCACAAAAAUCAGGUUAUAAAUUCAGAGUUUCAGUGAAACAAAAGGCAAUUCUAUUCCUAUUAUCCUGACAGGGAAAAAGAUAGUGAGAGAAGAGCUAACAGAGUUCAGAGCAACCUCCAGAGACUGAAGGGAACUCAUCGGCAAA